Molecule: transfer RNA, 73 nt
Filed under: Vicugna pacos (alpaca)
Lineage: Eukaryota; Metazoa; Chordata; Mammalia; Artiodactyla; Camelidae
Description: tRNA-Ala (AGC) (tRNA-Ala-AGC-231-1)
Rfam family: tRNA
About the family: Transfer RNA (tRNA) molecules are approximately 80 nucleotides in length. Their secondary structure includes four short double-helical elements and three loops (D, anti-codon, and T loops). Further hydrogen bonds mediate the characteristic L-shaped molecular structure. tRNAs have two regions of fundamental functional importance: the anti-codon, which is responsible for specific mRNA codon recognition, and the 3' end, to which the tRNAs corresponding amino acid is attached (by aminoacyl-tRNA synthetases). tRNAs cope with the degeneracy of the genetic code in two manners: having more than one tRNA (with a specific anti-codon) for a particular amino acid; and 'wobble' base-pairing, i.e. permitting non-standard base-pairing at the 3rd anti-codon position.
Source: RNAcentral
GGAGGGUACAGCUCAGUGGUAGAGCGCAUGCUUAGCAUGCAUGAGGUCCUGGGUUCAAUCCCCAGUACCUCCA